AUGGCACAGUCCAAAACCAGCCCCCGUGUCUUCCCGCUGAGCCUCAGGACCAGUGACCCAGCCGGGCAAGUGGUCGUUGCCUGCCUGGUGCAAGGGUUCUUCCCGCCGGAGCCCCUGAGAGUGACUUGGAGCCCCAGCAAGGAAGGCGCGUCCAUCCGGAACUUCCCCGCAGUGAAGUCUGCUUCCGGGAACCUGUACACCACGAGCAGCCAGCUGACCCUGCCGGCUAGCCAGUGCCCGGAUGGCGCGUCCCUGCAAUGCCAAGUGGAGCACUAUUCCAGCACCAGCCCGGCCGUGUCUGUGCCCUGCAGAGUUCCAGUUGACCCCCCUCCUCAGUGUUCCCCGUGCAAUGAACCCCGCCUGUCACUACACAAGCCCGCCCUCGAGGACCUGCUUCUGGGCUCCAAUGCCAGCAUCACGUGCACACUGAGCGGCCUGAACAGCCCCAAGGGUGCCCUGUUCUCCUGGACGCCCUCAGGGGGGAAGCAGGCCAUCCAGAAGCCCCCAGAGCGUGACUCCUGCGGCUGCUACAGUGUGUCCAGUGUCCUUCCAGGCUGUGCUGAGCCAUGGAACCGCGGGGAGAACUUCUCCUGCACCGCCACCCAUCCCGAGCUCAAGACGCCAAAAACUGACACCAUCUCCAAAGUCCUAGAGAACACUUUCCGGCCCCAGGUCCACCUGCUGCCGCCGCCGUCGGAAGAGCUGGCCCUCAAUGAGCUGGUGUCGCUGACGUGCCUCGUGCGAGGCUUCAGCCCCGAGGACGUGCUGGUACGAUGGCUGCAAGGAUCCCAGGAGCUGUCCCGGGAGAAGUACCUGACCUGGGGCCCCCUGCAGGAGCCCGACCAGAGCGUCCCCACCUUCGCCACGACCAGCGUGCUGCGAGUGUCGGCCGAGGACUGGAAGCAGGGGGAGAAGUUCUCCUGCAUGGUGGGGCACGAGGCCCUGCCCCUGGCCUUCACCCAGAAGACCAUCGACCGCCUGGCGGGUAAACCCACCCACGUCAACGUGUCUGUGGUCAUGUCGGAUGUGGAAGGCGUCUGCUACUGA
Lynx canadensis (Canada lynx) is the source of this 1047-nucleotide non-coding RNA. The record is from the annotation of a RefSeq genome assembly. Lineage: Eukaryota; Metazoa; Chordata; Mammalia; Carnivora; Felidae.